CUCCUACGGGAGGCAGCAGUGAGGAAUAUUGGACAAUGGGUGAGAGCCUGAUCCAGCCAUCCCGCGUGAAGGACGACGGCCCUAUGGGUUGUAAACUUCUUUUGUAUAGGGAUAAACCUAGAUACGUGUAUCUAGCUGAAGGUACUAUACGAAUAAGCACCGGCUAACUCCGUGCCAGCAGCCGCG
RNAcentral lists this ribosomal RNA (186 nucleotides) under uncultured Chryseobacterium sp. RNAcentral describes it as "partial 16S ribosomal RNA". It matches the Rfam family "Bacterial small subunit ribosomal RNA", at positions 336 to 519 of the family's 1533-position model. The record is from RNAcentral. Lineage: Bacteria; Pseudomonadati; Bacteroidota; Flavobacteriia; Flavobacteriales; Weeksellaceae.